This 737-nucleotide ribosomal RNA is filed under the name uncultured bacterium. RNAcentral's name for it is "bacterial SSU rRNA". It matches the Rfam family "Bacterial small subunit ribosomal RNA", at positions 60 to 785 of the family's 1533-position model. The record is from RNAcentral.
AGUUGAUCACUGGCUCAGGAAGUAAAACUCGUUACUCGGUAGGCCGUAGUUGAACGGGUGCUGAAUACAUCGGAAUCUACUUUUUCGUGGGGGAUAACGUAGGGAAACUUACGCUAAUACCGCAUACGACCUACGGGUGAAAGCAGGGGACCUUCGGGCCUUGCGCGAUUGAAUGAGCCGAUGUCGGAUUAGCUAGUUGGCGGGGUAAAGGCCCACCAAGGCGACUAUCCGUAUCUGGUCUGAGAGGAUGAUCAGCCACACUGGAACUGAGACACGGUCCACACUCCUACGGGAGGCAGCAGUGGGGAAUAUUGGACAAUGGGCGCAAGCCUGAUCCAGCCAUACCGCGUGGGUGAAGAAGGCCUUCGGGUUGUAAAGCCCUUUUGUUGGGAAAAAAAUCCAGCUGGCUAAUACCCGGUUGGGAUGACGGUACCCAAAGAAUAAACACCGGCUAACUUCGUGCCAGCAGCCGCGGUAAUACGAAGGGUGCAAGCGUUACUCGGAAUUACUGGGCGUAAAGCGUGCGUAGGUGGUCGUUUAAGUCCGUUGUGAAAGCCCUGGGCUCAACCUGGGAACUGCAGUGGAUACUGGGCGACUAUAGUGUGGUAGAGGGUAGCGGAAUUCCUGGUGUAGCAUGUAAUGCGUAAGAUCAGAGGAACAUCCUUGGCGAAGGCAGCUACCUGGACCAACACUGACACUGAGGCACGAAAGCGUGAGGAGCAAACAGGAUUAAAUAU